CCAGUGCCGCGUUGGGGUGAUACGAAGGCCCUACGGGGUUGUAAAAGCCCUUUCGCGGGAAGAUAAUGACGGUACCCGCAGAAGAAGCCCCGGCUAACUUCGUGC
Molecule: ribosomal RNA, 105 nt
Filed under: uncultured bacterium
Lineage: Bacteria
Description: partial 16S ribosomal RNA
Source: RNAcentral